Molecule: ribosomal RNA, 508 nt
Filed under: uncultured bacterium
Lineage: Bacteria
Description: partial 16S ribosomal RNA
Rfam family: Bacterial small subunit ribosomal RNA
Source: RNAcentral
GACGAACGCUGGCGGCGCGCUUAACACAUGCAAGUCGAGCGAGAACCGGUCCUUCGGGACCGGGGAAAGCGGCGAACGGGUGAGUAACACGUGGGUAAUCUGCCCUCGGUUUCGGGAUAGCCCGGGGAAACCCGGAUUAAUACCGAAUGGCCCUUUCGGUCUUCGGAUUGAAAGGAAAAGGUAGCUUCGGCCUCCGACCGAGGAUGAGCCCGCGGCGGAUUAGCUUGUUGGUGGGGUAACGGCCUACCAAGGCGACGAUCCGUAGCUGGUCUGGGAGGCCGACAAGCCACACUGGGACUGAGACGCGGCCAAGACUCCUACGGGAGGCAGCAGUGGGGAAUCUUGCGCAAUGGGCGAAAGCCUGACGCAGCGACGCCGCGUGCGGGAAGAAGGCCGUCGGGUUGUAAACCGCUUUCAGGUGGGACGAAGCCACUCGGGUGAAUAGCCCAGAGGGUGACGGUACCUCCAGAAGAAGUCCCGGCUAACUACGUGCCAGCAGCCGCAGUAA